Molecule: ribosomal RNA, 253 nt
Filed under: uncultured bacterium
Lineage: Bacteria
Description: partial 16S ribosomal RNA
Rfam family: Bacterial small subunit ribosomal RNA
Source: RNAcentral
UACGUAGGGAGCAAGCGUUGUCCGGAAUCAUUGGGCGUAAAGCGCGCGUAGGCGGCCCUGUAAGUCCGCUGUGAAAGUCAAAGGCUCAACCUUUGAAAGCCGGUGGAUACUGCAGGGCUAGAGUCCGGGAGAGGAGAGUGGAAUUCCUGGUGUAGCGGUGAAAUGCGCAGAUAUCAGGAAGAACACCCGUGGCGAAAGCGGCUCUCUGGAACGGUACUGACGCUGAGACGCGAAAGCGUGGGGAGCGAACAGG